CAACCUCUGCGGUGUUGGUGAGCGGAAGGCGCCAUUUUUCGACCGACGCCCUUGCAAGGGAACUUGAGUCUGCCGGCCGACCUGAAACCCCCGUUGCGGGGAACUACGAAGCCGGCAUCAAAGUGCCCACUUGGUUGCAGGGUCGGAGAGAUCUUCCGCCACGGCCUCGCGGAGGUUGU
RNAcentral lists this non-coding RNA (179 nucleotides) under Candidatus Brocadiia bacterium. RNAcentral's name for it is "Candidatus Brocadiae bacterium (aquatic metagenome) 6S RNA". It matches the Rfam family "6S / SsrS RNA". From Rfam's summary of the family: E. coli 6S RNA was the first non coding RNA to be sequenced, but its function was unknown until recently. Lineage: Bacteria; Pseudomonadati; Planctomycetota; Candidatus Brocadiia. The record is from RNAcentral.